AGCAGUAGCCACGGGAAUACAGAGGGUGCAAGCGUUAAUCGGAAUUACUGGGCGUAAAGCGUGCGCAGGCGGUUUGUUAAGACAGAUGUGAAAUCCCCGGGCUCAACCUGGGAACUGCAUUGGUGACUGCAACGCUGGAGUGCGGCAGAGGGGGAUGGAAUUCCGCGUGUAGCAGUGAAAUGCGUAGAUAUGCGGAGGAACACCGAUGGCGAAGGCAAUCCCCUGGGCCUGCACUGACGCUCAUGCACGAAAGCGUGGGGAGCAAACAGGAUUAGAUACCCCCGUAGUCCCUGUCUCUUAUAC
RNAcentral lists this ribosomal RNA (303 nucleotides) under uncultured bacterium. RNAcentral's name for it is "partial 16S ribosomal RNA". It matches the Rfam family "Bacterial small subunit ribosomal RNA", at positions 507 to 807 of the family's 1533-position model. The record is from RNAcentral.